This 2178-nucleotide long non-coding RNA is filed under the name Lytechinus variegatus (green sea urchin). RNAcentral's name for it is "uncharacterized LOC121410923". The record is from RNAcentral. Lineage: Eukaryota; Metazoa; Echinodermata; Echinoidea; Temnopleuroida; Toxopneustidae.
UUGUCGAUCUAUUUUCUAGGAAUUCCUAAAAUAGUCAUUUCGCCUAUAUUUGUACCGUUAACAAUCGGAUAUGAAAUAGUGGCAAUGAAUACUAUUAUCAUUCCCGAAUCCAUAUUAAUAUCCUCCUCUCACUACAAUCUGCUUUCUUUAUGUUGACGUAUAUUGGUUGCUCCACGACCAGCAACAAUAAUUCUAGUAAAAAGAUUCUGUUAAUCUCCGAACUCUGAUCUACACGGAUUUUUUUUUAAGGGGUGGGGGAUUUACUGCAUGUUAAUUCGAAAGAUCACUGUUGCACAAAAUGAUGUUCUUGACAUGGUUCAUUGAGGUUAAGACUCCUGUACCGAGUGAGUAGUGGUCACUUUUCCUCCAAAGUUUUCGGUGGCGCUUUUUUAGUAUAAACGGUCACGUGGUUCUCGAAAAAGGGAAGCCCUUUGGGCUUCUUCGCUCACUUUACGUCAAGCAACACACACACACCCAACACACUACUGAUGAUAAUGCACACUUUAUGUCCAGCAGUCGGUUGAAUGAGUACAUUCUUAAAACCUCGUAGUGAGUCCACCGAUGGAUUGUAAGGCUUCUUACCCAACCCCAUUCCUCAGAGCUGAUGUUUCCUUGUUCACCAUUUCUUUCACUUUUACUUAUCUUCAGUCGUCCUUUCUUUGUCUACAGACAUAGAUGUGAGUAUGGAGUCUACUUCACAAGUAGGAAGCGUUCUUCCUUAGCUUACAUGAGAGGAUUCAACACGGAGGGAAUUCUUUUCACAGGAGAGCAUGCAAUAGCUGAAAGAAGAGUUUGAUCAUUCAUUCACCGCUCUAUUUCAUUGACGAUUAACCGAGCAUUCAGUCCUUAAACAAGAAUUCAUGGAUAUAUGAAGCUAUCUAUCACAAUGAAAACGCAAUUGCUGGUGUAAGUAUCAUAAGAGUAAGUAUUUUUUUCUGACAUAACAUUUUUCUUUUCAAUUUCAUUAAUCAAUUCUGGCCGGAAAAAAAAUGUUUACCUAUUUAGGAAAGUGAUGCGGUAUAGCGGUUGCAUUUCACAACGUUAUCAGCAACCACAAAUGAGUUUGAUUGUAUUUCAACUUUUCUGAUUAUCAUGAUUAUUGAAUUUGAUUUUAAAAAAUUCUAAUUUAUUUAAACAAAAAAGAUCACGAUCAGUUAUUAUUGAACACUUAAUAGUUUUCCAAAACAGAUUGAAGAAGUAUAAUACAAAGUGAUUUGUACAUUUCAGUUAUUACAAAACCACGUUUGAUUUGCUAAUUUAUUUAUUUACUUAGUCGCCUCUAUUCAGGUGUUGAAUAUUGAUAAACAUUGUUAAUGUUUUUGGAUGUAGUCUUUCAUUUGAAAUAUGUUAUUCGAAAUAUUUUUUAUCUCGUGGGAUAAUGCUUAAAAUCGGACAUAAUAUGACCCGACUGAUUCAACAAUUGGUUUGUGAUAUUGGUUUUAAAUCAGCACAUGAACCUCAUACCAAGUUUAGUUUAAAAAAAUUACCCCUUUUCGAAAUAACAGUUAAGAUAUUCAUAUAAGCAACAUUUUUUAAAUCUUAAAACAUUGAUUAAAUGAAUGCAUGCAAUUUACUACAUUCACAUUGUAAUGUUUACCCGGCUUGCUGUUUGUGAAUAUUUGUAGAUGUGUUUGUUUGAAAAGUGUGGAGUUUAUAUAAUUAUGUACAUAAAAUUUGUUGUGUGCAAUAAUGCUUUGCUUUGCUGACUCUUAGUGAUACUUCUAUCAUGUGCUGUCAUUGUAGAAAUAUUAUUUUUAUAUGCUAUUUAUGGAUUAAAUGGCAAAAAUACUCAUUAUUUUCACAUCGAAUUUUUCCAAAUCUUGGCUAUUUUGCUCACGUCCCCAAUAUAUCAGAUAUUGUAACAGUACAUGGGAAAAUUAAAAAGAGAAUAUUUGUUCCGGUUUGACUAACAAUCGAUGGUGAGUUUAAUAUUAAAUGUGGCAGUCUUAUCAAAUAAUUAUUAUCUGGGAUUCGGGCAAGAUAUCAGAAAUUAUUUAGUUUAUCCGUCAUUCUUAAACGCUUUUCCUUUGGGUCUUAGUAUUUUGAGGUAUUUUAAGUUACAUUUCUUAUUGAUAAUAAUACAAUAAUAACAACCCGUGCUUUUGCAUUGUUUAUAAUUUCCCAUCUUUCUGGUAAGUUAUCCUGAUCAGAGCAAUCAUUUUCUGUAUUCAUACCACG